UUUAGUUUUUACAUACAAUGUUUGACUCUUUGCCUUAUUCAAAAAAUGUACGAUUAAUAUUUUUGUUUUUAUGAGAUGAUAAAACAUGAAUAAUAUUUUAUGUGUGACUAAUCUAUUUUAAAUUUAUCGAAAAAUUUUCAAAUAAAACGAAUGGUCAAACAUUCAACACAAAAACCGAAAAGUUGUCUUUUAG
RNAcentral lists this microRNA precursor (193 nucleotides) under Oryza brachyantha (malo sina). RNAcentral describes it as "MIR812 microRNA precursor family". It matches the Rfam family "MIR812 microRNA precursor family". The record is from Rfam by way of RNAcentral. Lineage: Eukaryota; Viridiplantae; Streptophyta; Magnoliopsida; Poales; Poaceae.